Molecule: ribosomal RNA, 690 nt
Filed under: Deliochus sp. B MG-2015
Lineage: Eukaryota; Metazoa; Arthropoda; Arachnida; Araneae; Araneidae
Description: SSU rRNA
Rfam family: Eukaryotic small subunit ribosomal RNA
Source: RNAcentral
GAAGGCAGCAGGCGCGCAAAUUAUCCACUCCCGGCACGGGGAGAUAGUGACGAAAAAUAACAAUACGGGACUCUUUUGAGACCCCGUAAUUGGAAUGAGUACACUCUAAAUCCUUUAACGAGGACCCAUUGGAGGGCAAGUCUGGUGCCAGCAGCUGCGGUAAUUCCAGCUCCAAUAGCGUAUAUUAAAGUUGUUGCGGUUAAAAAGCUCGUAGUUGGAUCUCAGAUCGAGUCGAAUGGUCCGCCUACCGGUGGUUACUGUUUGUGCUCAUCAUUCCGCCGGUUUCCUUUGAUGAUCUUCACCGGUUGUCUUGGGUGACCGGCAAGUUUACUUUGAAAAAAUUAGGGUGCUCAAAGCGGGCGUGACGCCUGAAUAAUGGUGCAUGGAAUAAUGGAAUAGGACCUCGGUUCUAUUUUGUUGGUUUUCGGAACACGAGGUAAUGAUUAAGAGGGACAGACGGGGGCAUUCGUAUUGCGACGCUAGAGGUGAAAUUCUUGGACCGUCGCAAGACGAACUACUGCGAAAGCAUUUGCCAAGAAUGUUUCCAUUAAUCAAGAACGAAAGUUAGAGGUUCGAAGGCGAUCAGAUACCGCCCUAGUUCUAACCAUAAACGAUGCCAGCCAGCGAUCCGGCUGUGUUCCUCAAAUGACACGCCGGGCAGCUUCCGGGAAGCCAAAGCUUUUGGGUUCC